AGAGUCUAUAUAAAAGCAUACACUGAUACAUUCAACGAUUUAUAUUGUUUCAGGUUCAGAAGGUUAUUCAUCUGGAUAAAAGCACAUCUGAUUUGCAGAAAUGUGACAAAGUUUGAAGUGUGCUGCAGGAACUGCUUUUGGCCACCCAGCAGAUGUGAUUGAACCAUGACGAGUAAUUCGUCCAGGUAAGUGGA
This 194-nucleotide long non-coding RNA is filed under the name Danio rerio (zebrafish). Its description in RNAcentral is "lncRNA si:dkey-21h14.17 (ENSDARG00000096218.2)". Lineage: Eukaryota; Metazoa; Chordata; Actinopteri; Cypriniformes; Danionidae. The record is from RNAcentral.